UUUUAUUGCAUUUUCUCUUUGUUGGGUGUUUAGUCCUGUUAUCUUUUUUAACUUGUUUUGGCGAGGUUAUUCAUCGCGCGAAUAAACAUCUUAUUAUGAUAAUUUGAGAUUUUUCGUUGUGAAAAAAAAAAAAAAAAGAUGGAGGUAGGGGUCAAAGAGGGGGUACCAACGGGGUAAGAGCCCCCCGUUGCUCUGAUUUAGUCAACGGGGUUUUCCCUCUGCCAGCUUUUUUUUUUUUUUUUAAGCGGUGGAAGGACUGAUAUCUUUUUUAACUUGUUUUGGCGAGGUUAUUCAUCGCGCGAAUAAACAUCUUAUUAUGAUAAUUUGAGAUUUUUCGUUGUGAAAAAAAAAAAAAAAAAAAAAUGGAGGUAGGGGUCAAAGAGGGGGUACCAACGGGGUAAGAGCCCCCCGUUGCUCUGAUUUAGUCAACGGGGUUUUCCCUCUGCCAGCUUUUUUUUUAUUUUUUUAAGCGGUGGAAGGACUGAUCAACGUCCCUUUAACAAGGCGGAAUGAAGACAGUUAUUAGCCGGCCAACCGGCCCAUAACAAACAUCGCGCUUCAGGGCGGGCUUCUUAUCAACCGCGCGCGCCACCACCUGAGACAGAUGUGCCGUCCAAGGUGGACGAUCGACAAACGCCUACAUAUCGAGUAGGGUUGAUUGCCUCGGGUGCAUGAUUGGUUUGACCCGCUCUUCUUAAAACCCCUCCCAACCAUCCUUAAUGCCCCCACAUGGGUCACAAGUUCACGUGACUAAACUCGGCAAU
RNAcentral lists this long non-coding RNA (764 nucleotides) under Malus domestica (apple). RNAcentral's name for it is "long non-coding RNA (MDOM_LNC006499)". Lineage: Eukaryota; Viridiplantae; Streptophyta; Magnoliopsida; Rosales; Rosaceae. The record is from RNAcentral.